Molecule: ribosomal RNA, 666 nt
Filed under: Cellulosimicrobium cellulans
Lineage: Bacteria; Bacillati; Actinomycetota; Actinomycetes; Micrococcales; Promicromonosporaceae
Description: bacterial SSU rRNA
Rfam family: Bacterial small subunit ribosomal RNA
Source: RNAcentral
GAUGCCCAGCUUGCUGGGCGGAUUAGUGGCGAACGGGUGAGUAACACGUGAGUAACCUGCCCUUGACUUCGGGAUAACUCCGGGAAACCGGGGCUAAUACCGGAUAUGAGCCGUCCUCGCAUGGGGGUGGUUGGAAAGUUUUUCGGUCAGGGAUGGGCUCGCGGCCUAUCAGCUUGUUGGUGGGGUGAUGGCCUACCAAGGCGACGACGGGUAGCCGGCCUGAGAGGGCGACCGGCCACACUGGGACUGAGACACGGCCCAGACUCCUACGGGAGGCAGCAGUGGGGAAUAUUGCACAAUGGGCGAAAGCCUGAUGCAGCGACGCCGCGUGAGGGAUGAAGGCCUUCGGGUUGUAAACCUCUUUCAGCAGGGAAGAAGCGCAAGUGACGGUACCUGCAGAAGAAGCGCCGGCUAACUACGUGCCAGCAGCCGCGGUAAUACGUAGGGCGCAAGCGUUGUCCGGAAUUAUUGGGCGUAAAGAGCUCGUAGGCGGUUUGUCGCGUCUGGUGUGAAAACUCGAGGCUCAACCUCGAGCUUGCAUCGGGUACGGGCAGACUAGAGUGCGGUAGGGGAGACUGGAAUUCCUGGUGUAGCGGUGGAAUGCGCAGAUAUCAGGAGGAACACCGAUGGCGAAGGCAGGUCUCUGGGCCGCAACUGACGCUGAGG